RNAcentral lists this long non-coding RNA (283 nucleotides) under Elaeis guineensis (African oil palm). RNAcentral describes it as "long non-coding RNA (EGUI_LNC023013)". Lineage: Eukaryota; Viridiplantae; Streptophyta; Magnoliopsida; Arecales; Arecaceae. The record is from RNAcentral.
GGAGUUCUUUGAUCGAGCUUAGUGUUAGAUUUUAGAUAUUUUACACAUAGAUUUCAAAAUAAUUUUGAAUUUAAGCAGCGAAAGUCAAGAUUAAAACAGUUUUAAUCCUACAUAUGUACAGAUCAAAAUCUUAUAUCUAUUAAUCUAGUUCAUAUGAUGAUAAAUAAAAUAUAAAGCAUUUGAUUUUAGAUAUUAAAAAUUUAUUUAUGAUCCAAUCACAUACUUGAAUUGCAUAACUCUUCAAAUUCAGAUUUGUAAAUGCCUUCAGGUUUUAAUAUAGCCG